This 462-nucleotide ribosomal RNA is filed under the name uncultured bacterium. Its description in RNAcentral is "partial 16S ribosomal RNA". It matches the Rfam family "Bacterial small subunit ribosomal RNA", at positions 28 to 507 of the family's 1533-position model. The record is from RNAcentral.
GACGAACGCUGGCGGCGUGCUUAACACAUGCAAGUCGAACGGAAAGGCCCUUCGGGGUACUCGAGUGGCGAACGGGUGCGUAACACGUGGGUGAUCUGCCCCGCACUUUGGGAUAAGCCUGGGAAACUGGGUCUAAUACCGAAUAUGAUCAUCGGCUCCAUGGUCGGUGGUGGAAAGCUUUUGCGGUGUGGGAUGGGCCCGCGGCCUAUCAGCUUGUUGGUGGGGUAAUGGCCUACCAAGGCGACGACGGGUAGCCGGCCUGAGAGGGUGACCGGCCACACUGGGACUGAGAUACGGCCCAGACUCCUACGGGAGGCAGCAGUGGGGAAUAUUGCACAAUGGGCGGAAGCCUGAUGCAGCGACGCCGCGUGAGGGAUGACGGCCUUCGGGUUGUAAACCUCUUUCAGCACAGACGAAGCGCAAGUGACGGUAUGUGCAGAAGAAGGACCGGCCAACUACGUG